Molecule: ribosomal RNA, 497 nt
Filed under: uncultured bacterium
Lineage: Bacteria
Description: partial 16S ribosomal RNA
Rfam family: Bacterial small subunit ribosomal RNA
Source: RNAcentral
GAUGAACGCUGGCGGCGUGCCUAAUACAUGCAAGUCGAGCGAACAGACGAGGAGCUUGCUCCUCUGACGUUAGCGGCGGACGGGUGAGUAACACGUGGAUAACCUACCUAUAAGACUGGGAUAACUUCGGGAAACCGGAGCUAAUACCGGAUAAUAUAUUGAACCGCAUGGUUCAAUAGUGAAAGACGGUUUUGCUGUCACUUAUAGAUGGAUCCGCGCCGCAUUAGCUAGUUGGUAAGGUAACGGCUUACCAAGGCAACGAUGCGUAGCCGACCUGAGAGGGUGAGCGGCCACACUGGACCUGAGACACGGUCCAGACUCCUACGGGAGGCAGCAGUAGGGAAUCUUCCGCAAUGGGCGAAAGCCUGACGGAGCAACGCCGCGUGAGUGAUGAAGGUCUUCGGAUCGUAAAACUCUGUUAUUAGGGAAGAACAAAUGUGUAAGUAACUAUGCACGUCUUGACGGUACCUAAUCAGAAAGCCACGGCUAACUACGUG